CAGUAGCCGCGGUAAUACGGAGGGGGCUCGCGUUGUUCGGAAUUACUGGGCGUAAAGCGCACGUAGGCGGCUUGGUAAGUUAGAGGUGAAAGCCCGGAGCUCAACUCCGGAAUUGCCUUUAAGACUGCCGAGCUAGUAGGUGAGAGAGGUAAGUGGAAUUCCGAGUGUAGAGGUGAAAUUCGUAGAUAUUCGGAAGAACACCAGUGGCGAAGGCGGCUUACUGGCUCAUUCUAGACGCUGAGGUGCGAAAGCGUGGGGAGUAAACAGGAUUAGAUACCCGUGUAGUCCCUGUCUCUUAUAC
RNAcentral lists this ribosomal RNA (301 nucleotides) under uncultured bacterium. RNAcentral's name for it is "partial 16S ribosomal RNA". It matches the Rfam family "Bacterial small subunit ribosomal RNA", at positions 509 to 807 of the family's 1533-position model. The record is from RNAcentral.